GCCCUUAAUCUUAUUAAUGGUGAUACCUGCCCAGUGAUAUGAAGUUAAAUUUAAAAUAUUUUAAUUAUAUUAAACGGAUGCGGUAACUCUGACCGUAGUAAAGUAGCAUAAUAAAUUGUCAUUUAAUUGGUGGAGAGUAUGAAUGGUAAUACGAAUACUUCAUUGUCUUAAAUAAAAUUCUUUAAAAUUGAAAUAAUAGUGAAGAUUCUAUUUAAAAUUAUAAGACGAAAAGACCCUAUAGAGCUUAACUAUAAGCUUAAAAUUAAUUCUAAGUUUGGUAGUUUAGUUGGGGCGACUAUCUUUUAUAAUAAACAAAGAUAAGCAAAAUUAAUAAAUAAUUUAUUGUAUAAUUAAUAAAUUUAACAAUUAGUAAAUUAGGCUAUAAUGACCCAUUAAAUUAAUAAAAAUUUAAUGAUUAAUAAAUAAAAGCUACCUUAGGGAUAACAGGAUAAUUUUGUUUUAGAGUUCAUAUCAAUUACAAAGUUUGUCACCUCUAUGUUGAAUUAAGAUAACCUAAUAAUGAAGAAGUUAUUGAAGGUAGGUCUGUUCGACCUUUAAAAUCUU
RNAcentral lists this ribosomal RNA (564 nucleotides) under Ectopleura viridis. RNAcentral describes it as "partial 16S ribosomal RNA". It matches the Rfam family "Bacterial large subunit ribosomal RNA", at positions 1833 to 2597 of the family's 2925-position model. Lineage: Eukaryota; Metazoa; Cnidaria; Hydrozoa; Anthoathecata; Tubulariidae. The record is from RNAcentral.